RNAcentral lists this ribosomal RNA (111 nucleotides) under uncultured eukaryote. RNAcentral's name for it is "partial small subunit ribosomal RNA". It matches the Rfam family "Bacterial small subunit ribosomal RNA", at positions 1418 to 1525 of the family's 1533-position model. The record is from RNAcentral.
CACCCGAAACUGAUUUAGCUAACUGUAAAAAGAGGCGAUCAGUGAAGGUGAAGAGGGUGAUUGGGGUGAAGUCGUAACAAGGUAGCAGUAGGUGAACCUGCAGAAGGAUCA